GGGAUCAAGAGUUAGCUCUAGUUUAUAAACCUUUGCAUUUUCAUUGCCUCCUCACUAUUGGCUUUGGAUAGAGCAUGGGAUUCUUAUUUUGCUUAGUAGCCACCAUGAACUUUAUAUGGACUACACGAGGCAAGUCCUUAAUUCCACAGUCAUCAAGUUCAUCAAGGAUUUGAUGCUUAGGAGGGAUUCUUUUACCAUCAUGAGGUGCACAGCUGGAAGAGAAAACAUCUAACGAGCACUUGUUCAUUAGGACCAGAAGUCCUGUUCUCUUCUAUGGCAGAAUGUUGGAGAAUGCUUCCUUGAGAACAUUCUGGAGAGAUGUGGAAUGUUUAGGUUUCCUUUGCAGUGAAUGCUUAAGUUUCCUUAUCUUGCCAAUUCUACAGUGCCUUCUGGAGAACUCGCUGGCCAGAGAAGAUAAUCUUGAAGUGAAGAUACAGGAUAAUCAGGGCUUUCCACCUACAGGACAGGCUUCAAAUCCUUUAGGGUCAAGAUCUGAUUUGCUAAUCCUCUGAAGUCAACUGAACUGAUGUAGAGAGUUCCUACCAGUUGGAUAGGAUACUGUAGACCAUGGCUUUUUAACUCACUUAGUGGAAAUUGCCAUCUUAUAGAGUUGUUGGAGGCAUUAGAAGUUACUUUCUAAACAAGGAAUCUCUUUAGUAACAGUUCCUCUGAUCGGAAGGCCACAACUUUACAAGGUGAGACACUUCUGGAAGCUGGAAAGUAAUGUUUUACAUGAAGUCAGUGCAGAAGAAAGAACAUUAUUUUUGGAGAAGUUUCAAGGCCAAAACCCAGCAUCACUACUCAUUGUCUAUGUGAAUCUAGGCAUGGUUCUUAACUUUGUUGACCUCUAUUCCCUAGUAAAUGAAGAGGGAUGAAAGAAAUUAUCCAUCAGUGGAUGAAUGGAUAAUGAAAAUGUGAAAUGGAAUACUAUUUGGCUUUUAAAAAGAAGAAAAUUCCAUCAUAUGCAACAACAUUAAUGAACUUGGGAGACAUUGUGCUGUUUAAAAUAAGCCAGGCACAGCAGGAGAAUUAUUGCAUGAUCUUACUUACAUGUGGAAUCUAAAACAAACACACUGAAACAGAGAGUAGAAUGAUAGUUACCAGAGGCUAGGGGUGAGGGAAAUGGGGAGAUAUAGGCCAAAGUGUACAAAGUUUCAGUUACACAGGAGAAAUAAAUUUUUUGAUAUUAAUUGCACAGCAUGGUGACUAUAGUUAAUAAUGUAUAAAUGGUAUAUAUCAAAAUUUCUAAUAGAGUAAUUUUUCCAGUGUUCUCACUGCAAAAAAUUGUAAGUAUUUCAGGUGGUAAAUGUUAGCUAGCUUGAUUUGCCUUUUACAUCUUUAUUUUUAAUGUAUAUUGAAAAAUUAUAGUUGUUUAUAUUCAUAAGACACAAAGCAUUUUGAUAUUUAUUUAAAAUGUGGAUUUAUUAAAUUAAACAUUAACAUACUUGUCACCUCAAAUAUUUAACAUAUUUUAUAAGAAAUUUACUUUAGAAAUUUUCUCUUUAGCAAUAUUGAAAUUAUAGUCCUCGAUUAUGAGCUAAAUUGUUGGCACUCAAUUAUUAACAUGCUUUGCUGUCAAUCUUAACAAAUUAAAC
Molecule: long non-coding RNA, 1595 nt
Filed under: Callithrix jacchus (white-tufted-ear marmoset)
Lineage: Eukaryota; Metazoa; Chordata; Mammalia; Primates; Cebidae
Description: lncRNA (ENSCJAG00000086910.1)
Source: RNAcentral